Molecule: long non-coding RNA, 632 nt
Organism: Mauremys reevesii (Reeves's turtle)
Lineage: Eukaryota; Metazoa; Chordata; Testudines; Geoemydidae
Exons: 3
Source: RefSeq, a predicted model, not a curated record
UGCCCCUGCCCCUCUCUCCAUCACUCAUCCUUACGGCCAGUCAAAAGUGUCCCCCGCAUUCUGCCAUCCAUGGUGGGAUCCGGCUGCUGUGGCUGCAGGGAAGGGACCAAUCAGAGAUCCCUCUGAGUUGCGACCUUGACUCACAAAUAUUCCGGAUAUCGCCUCUUAUUUGAGAAAUCCGCUAGGACAGAGGGCAGAGGAUCAAAAAAGAGGAAAUAUCCAGGAAAACCCGGACGUACGGUCACCCUAUCGCUUGGGCCCCUUGACUGUGAUGAUGAACAAAAGUCAGAAACAGCAAAAAAAAGUCAAGUUUUUUGUAAAGAGGAGAGUGGAUGUUUGGGACAUGUUUAUUCAGAUAACAAGGGUAAAAGGGGCCAAUUUUUACCUCCCUCCUUCAUGCAGUUACAAAAGUAUGAAUUUGUGACAUUAUUGACAUAAACUGUGACCGUAUAGAUCAUUGUUGCAACCACUGUUAUAUAUUUGUGGCAAAUAUUGUACAAAGGUUGUCGAGUGAGGUGUCUAUGAAGGGGUUAUGAUUUCCUGGUUAUGAUUAUGCUGUCUGUAUGUGUGUACCAUUUUUAUAGUUGAAGUUAUGAACACUGGCUACGUAAUUGUAUCUCAUGUGUUUGUGA